Molecule: non-coding RNA, 79 nt
Organism: Crocosphaera watsonii WH 8501
Lineage: Bacteria; Bacillati; Cyanobacteriota; Cyanophyceae; Chroococcales; Aphanothecaceae
Source: Rfam
GAGAGCCGUGUGAGGUGAAAGUCUCACGCACGGUUCGGAAUGGGAGGAGAGGAAGGUGACUUCCUUUUCGACCCCUAAU